This 539-nucleotide ribosomal RNA is filed under the name uncultured bacterium. RNAcentral describes it as "bacterial SSU rRNA". It matches the Rfam family "Bacterial small subunit ribosomal RNA", at positions 300 to 845 of the family's 1533-position model. The record is from RNAcentral.
GCGCCCGUCCCGCCGGCCCCCGCCCGCCUACGGGAGGCAGCAGUGGGGAAUAUUGGACAAUGGGCGCAAGCCUGAUCCAGCCAUACCGCGUGGGUGAAGAAGGCCUUCGGGUUGUAAAGCCCUUUUGUUGGGAAAGAAAUCCAGCCGGCUAAUACCUGGUUGGGAUGACGGUACCCAAAGAAUAAGCACCGGCUAACUUCGUGCCAGCAGCCGCGGUAAUACGAAGGGUGCAAGCGUUACUCGGAAUUACUGGGCGUAAAGCGUGCGUAGGUGGUCGUUUAAGUCCGUUGUGAAAGCCCUGGGCUCAACCUGGGAACUGCAGUGGAUACUGGGCGACUAGAGUGUGGUAGAGGGUAGCGGAAUUCCUGGUGUAGCAGUGAAAUGCGUAGAGAUCAGGAGGAACAUCCAUGGCGAAGGCAGCUACCUGGACCAACACUGACACUGAGGCACGAAAGCGUGGGGAGCAAACAGGAUUAGAUACCCUGGUAGUACCACGCCCUAAACGAUGCGCAACCUGCGCAUGUUGGGUGCAAUUUGCG